GACGAACGCUGGCGGCGUGCCUAAUACAUGCAAGUCGAGCGAAGUUUUUCUGGUGCUUGCACCGGAAAAACUUAGCGGCGAACGGGUGAGUAACACGUAAAGAACCUGCCUCAUAGACUGGGACAACUAUUGGAAACGAUAGCUAAUACCGGAUAAUAGCAUUAACUGCAUGGUUGAUGUUUAAAAGUUGGUUUUGCUAACACUAUGAGAUGGCUUUGCGGUGCAUUAGCUAGUUGGUGGGGUUAAGGCCUACCAAGGCGACGAUGCAUAGCCGACCUGAGAGGAUGAUCGGCCACACUGGGACUGAGACACGGCCCAGACUCCUACGGGAGGCAGCAGUAGGGAAUCUUCCGCAAUGGGCGAAAGCCUGACGGAGCAACGCCGCGUGAGUGAAGAAGGAUUUCGGUUCGUAAAGCUCUGUUGUUAGGGAAGAAUGAUUGUGUAGUAACUAUACACAGUAGAGACGGUACCUAACCAGAAAGCCACGGCUAACUACGUG
This 499-nucleotide ribosomal RNA is filed under the name uncultured bacterium. RNAcentral describes it as "partial 16S ribosomal RNA". It matches the Rfam family "Bacterial small subunit ribosomal RNA", at positions 28 to 507 of the family's 1533-position model. The record is from RNAcentral.